RNAcentral lists this ribosomal RNA (2466 nucleotides) under Escherichia coli. RNAcentral's name for it is "23S ribosomal RNA". It matches the Rfam family "Bacterial large subunit ribosomal RNA". Lineage: Bacteria; Pseudomonadati; Pseudomonadota; Gammaproteobacteria; Enterobacterales; Enterobacteriaceae. The record is from RNAcentral.
GGGUUGUGAGGUUAAGCGACUAAGCGUACACGGUGGAUGCCCUGGCAGUCAGAGGCGAUGAAGGACGUGCUAAUCUGCGAUAAGCGUCGGUGAGGUGAUAUGAACCGUUAUAACCGGCGAUUUCCGAAUGGGGAAACCCAGUGUGUUUCGACACACUAUCAUUAACUGAAUCCAUAGGUUAAUGAGGCGAACCGGGGGAACUGAAACAUCUAAGUACCCCGAGGAAAAGAAAUCAACCGAGAUUCCCCCAGUAGCGGCGAGCGAACGGGGAGGAGCCCAGAGCCUGAAUCAGUGUGUGUGUUAGUGGAAGCGUCUGGAAAGGCGCGCGAUACAGGGUGACAGCCCCGUACACAAAAAUGCACAUAUUGUGAGCUCGAUGAGUAGGGCGGGACACGUGGUAUCCUGUCUGAAUAUGGGGGGACCAUCCUCCAAGGCUAAAUACUCCUGACUGACCGAUAGUGAACCAGUACCGUGAGGGAAAGGCGAAAAGAACCCCGGCGAGGGGAGUGAAAAAGAACCUGAAACCGUGUACGUACAAGCAGUGGGAGCCUCUUAAUGGGGUGACUGCGUACCUUUUGUAUAAUGGGUCAGCGACUUAUAUUCUGUAGCAAGGUUAACCGAAUAGGGGAGCCGAAGGGAAACCGAGUCUUAACUGGGCGUUAAGUUGCAGGGUAUAGACCCGAAACCCGGUGAUCUAGCCAUGGGCAGGUUGAAGGUUGGGUAACACUAACUGGAGGACCGAACCGACUAAUGUUGAAAAAUUAGCGGAUGACUUGUGGCUGGGGGUGAAAGGCCAAUCAAACCGGGAGAUAGCUGGUUCUCCCCGAAAGCUAUUUAGGUAGCGCCUCGUGAAUUCAUCUCCGGGGGUAGAGCACUGUUUCGGCAAGGGGGUCAUCCCGACUUACCAACCCGAUGCAAACUGCGAAUACCGGAGAAUGUUAUCACGGGAGACACACGGCGGGUGCUAACGUCCGUCGUGAAGAGGGAAACAACCCAGACCGCCAGCUAAGGUCCCAAAGUCAUGGUUAAGUGGGAAACGAUGUGGGAAGGCCCAGACAGCCAGGAUGUUGGCUUAGAAGCAGCCAUCAUUUAAAGAAAGCGUAAUAGCUCACUGGUCGAGUCGGCCUGCGCGGAAGAUGUAACGGGGCUAAACCAUGCACCGAAGCUGCGGCAGCGACACNNNNNNNNNNNNNNNNNNNNNNNNNNNNNNNNNNNNNNNNNNNNNNNNNNNNNNNNNNNNNNNNNNNNNNNNNNNNNNNNNNNNNNNNNNNNNNACUUGCUCGUGGAGCUGAAAUCAGUCGAAGAUACCAGCUGGCUGCAACUGUUUAUUAAAAACACAGCACUGUGCAAACACGAAAGUGGACGUAUACGGUGUGACGCCUGCCCGGUGCCGGAAGGUUAAUUGAUGGGGUUAGCGGUAACGCGAAGCUCUUGAUCGAAGCCCCGGUAAACGGCGGCCGUAACUAUAACGGUCCUAAGGUAGCGAAAUUCCUUGUCGGGUAAGUUCCGACCUGCACGAAUGGCGUAAUGAUGGCCAGGCUGUCUCCACCCGAGACUCAGUGAAAUUGAACUCGCUGUGAAGAUGCAGUGUACCCGCGGCAAGACGGAAAGACCCCGUGAACCUUUACUAUAGCUUGACACUGAACAUUGAGCCUUGAUGUGUAGGAUAGGUGGGAGGCUUUGAAGUGUGGACGCCAGUCUGCAUGGAGCCGACCUUGAAAUACCACCCUUUAAUGUUUGAUGUUCUAACGUGGGCCCCUAAUCGGGGUUGCGGACAGUGUCUGGUGGGUAGUUUGACUGGGGCGGUCUCCUCCUAAAGAGUAACGGAGGAGCACGAAGGUUGGCUAAUCCUGGUCGGACAUCAGGAGGUUAGUGCAAUGGCAUAAGCCAGCUUGACUGCGAGCGUGACGGCGCGAGCAGGUGCGAAAGCAGGUCAUAGUGAUCCGGUGGUUCUGAAUGGAAGGGCCAUCGCUCAACGGAUAAAAGGUACUCCGGGGAUAACAGGCUGAUACCGCCCAAGAGUUCAUAUCGACGGCGGUGUUUGGCACCUCGAUGUCGGCUCAUCACAUCCUGGGGCUGAAGUAGGUCCCAAGGGUAUGGCUGUUCGCCAUUUAAAGUGGUACGCGAGCUGGGUUUAGAACGUCGUGAGACAGUUCGGUCCCUAUCUGCCGUGGGCGCUGGAGAACUGAGGGGGGCUGCUCCUAGUACGAGAGGACCGGAGUGGACGCAUCACUGGUGUUCGGGUUGUCAUGCCAAUGGCACUGCCCGGUAGCUAAAUGCGGAAGAGAUAAGUGCUGAAAGCAUCUAAGCACGAAACUUGCCCCGAGAUGAGUUCUCCCUGAGACUUAGAGUCUCCUGAAGGAACGUUGAAGACGACGACGUUGAUAGGCCGGGUGUGUAAGCGCAGCGAUGCGUUGAGCUAACCGGUACUAAUGAACCGUGAGGCUUAACCUUACAACGCCGAAG